UAAGGGAUAUUGCGCAAUGGGCGAAAGCCUGACGCAGCAACGCCGCGUGGAGGAUGAAGGCCUUCGGGUCGUAAACUCCUUUUGACGCUGACGAGGAAGGACGGUAGGCGUCGAAGAAGUCACGGCUAACUACGUGCCAGCAGCCGCGGUAAAACGUAGGUGGCGAGCGUUAUCCGGAUUUACUGGGCGUAAAGCGUGUGCAGGUGGACGGUUAAGUGGUGUAUGAAAUCUCCCAGCUCAACUGGGAUAGGUUAUGCCAGACUGGUCGUCUAGGGUAUGGGAGAGGGAUGUGGAAUUCCGGGUGUAGUGGUGAAAUGCGUAGAGAUCCGGAGGAACCCCAGAGGCGAAGGCGGCAUCCUGGCCCAUCACCGACACUCAGACACGACAGCAUGGGGAGCGAACGG
This 404-nucleotide ribosomal RNA is filed under the name uncultured bacterium. RNAcentral's name for it is "bacterial SSU rRNA". It matches the Rfam family "Bacterial small subunit ribosomal RNA", at positions 355 to 775 of the family's 1533-position model. The record is from RNAcentral.